GCAAGGAGGACCGUUCGAUGAUUUUUCGUUUAGGAUGAUCGCGUGGACGAAUCCAAACCGUCCAUUGCGAUCCAUUUUGUUUGUCUGAUCACAUCUGAAGAGAAAAUGCAUCUAAAUUGUUUACGCGUGCGGGAUGAGGUCUGGACCGUCGGAUUACCAAGCACAUGGAUCGCUCGCGUGGCUUCCCAAAUGGUACCGAUGUUAGCAUGUCUGCCACGCGACGU
This 224-nucleotide long non-coding RNA is filed under the name Carica papaya (papaya). RNAcentral's name for it is "long non-coding RNA (CPAP_LNC005131)". The record is from RNAcentral. Lineage: Eukaryota; Viridiplantae; Streptophyta; Magnoliopsida; Brassicales; Caricaceae.